This 838-nucleotide ribosomal RNA is filed under the name uncultured Halomonas sp. RNAcentral describes it as "bacterial SSU rRNA". It matches the Rfam family "Bacterial small subunit ribosomal RNA", at positions 372 to 1204 of the family's 1533-position model. Lineage: Bacteria; Pseudomonadati; Pseudomonadota; Gammaproteobacteria; Oceanospirillales; Halomonadaceae. The record is from RNAcentral.
UGGGCGAAGCCUGAUCCAGCCAUGCCGCGUGUGUGAAGAAGGCUUUCGGGUUGUAAAGCACUUUCAGUGAGGAAGAAAGCCUUCGGCCUAAUACGCCGGAGGAACGACAUCACUCACAGAAGAAGCACCGGCUAACUCCGUGCCAGCAGCCGCGGUAAUACGGAGGGUGCGAGCGUUAAUCGGAAUUACUGGGCGUAAAGCGCGCGUAGGUGGCUUGAUAAGCCGGUUGUGAAAGCCCCGGGCUCAACCUGGGAACGGCAUCCGGAACUGUCAGGCUAGAGUGCAGGAGAGGAAGGUAGAAUUCCCGGUGUAGCGGUGAAAUGCGUAGAGAUCGGGAGGAAUACCAGUGGCGAAGGCGGCCUUCUGGACUGACACUGACACUGAGGUGCGAAAGCGUGGGUAGCAAACAGGAUUAGAUACCCUGGUAGUCCACGCCGUAAACGAUGUCGACUAGCCGUUGGGGUCCUUGAGACCUUUGUGGCGCAGUUAACGCGAUAAGUCGACCGCCUGGGGAGUACGGCCGCAAGGUUAAAACUCAAAUGAAUUGACGGGGGCCCGCACAAGCGGUGGAGCAUGUGGUUUAAUUCGAUGCAACGCGAAGAACCUUACCUACCCUUGACAUCGUGCGAACUUUCCAGAGAUGGAUUGGUGCCUUCGGGAACGCACAGACAGGUGCUGCAUGGCUGUCGUCAGCUCGUGUUGUGAAAUGUUGGGUUAAGUCCCGUAACGAGCGCAACCCUUGUCCCUAUUUGCCAGCGAUUCGGUCGGGAACUCUAGGGAGACUGCCGGUGACAAACCGGAGGAAGGUGGGGACGACGUCAAGUCAUCAUGGCCCUUA